This 2296-nucleotide long non-coding RNA is filed under the name Mus musculus (house mouse). RNAcentral's name for it is "predicted gene 10300". Lineage: Eukaryota; Metazoa; Chordata; Mammalia; Rodentia; Muridae. The record is from RNAcentral.
GGUGACUCAAGGGCCACCCUGACCGGCAGAGCUAGGGCCGCAGCUCGCGGGUCCCGGGUCCGGAAACUCAAGAUUCAGUUACGUAAGGACCCGAGCAGGGCUCCCGGGGUCCCCCUCCUACCGCCCUCUGGGUCCCCAGGAGCACGCGGGUGCGCAGGGUGGGGCUGGCGGGUCGGCCUGGGGCUGCGCCGCGGCGCUGAGUCCUGCUGCGGACGAACACCCACGACAGGACUCCAGGUCCGGAGCGAGCAACUGCACGCCGUCUCCGGAGCUCCGCACCCCCUCGACUUUGUGACUCCAGAACCCCUAGGGACCUCAAGUUUGGAGCAUGCAGCUCAGGACCUCCAGCACCCCCGCCGAGGAUCCUGUGACCCUCGGCUCGCAGCUCCCGGAACGAUCGGGCUCCUUAGGAGCGGGCUUCUGGGUCUUGCACCUUGUCCCUCCCAGGCACCGGGGCCACCCCCUAAGGCGGUCCAGGCUCACCUGGGCUGCACAGGACAGGGACCUGGCAGGGACCUGGCCGGGCCGGGCCGGGCCGCGUCCUCGCUCUCCGCGGCUCUCUCCCUUUAAGAGGUUCCUGCCACUUUGCCCCGCCGGGGGCCUCCACCUGCACUGACAGGGCAACUCUGAUGCGAGGCCCCGCCCUCCCCUCGGGAGGUCCUGUAAUUGGUGCAGACAACUGCCAAUCUUUGGGGCGGCGGGCAGGACCGGGCACAGUAGCCCGACUGUCGCAACCGGGAAGGGGCGGGGGCUGCAGGUGCGGCCAGGCCGGGACGCCCAGCCUAGAGCAGCUCCUGAUAGACCCAGAGCAAUCAGGGGAGGGGAAACAUGGAGUUCCUGGAUUGGCUGGUAUGGUCGCUGACGUCAUGUUGCAAAAGUAUAAAGCAAUUUGCCACGUGGUGCUGACCCUAAGGCGUUAGGUUGGAAUGGGGGUUGUUCUAGGAGAGUUAGGGAAGUGACCUUGACGACAUAGACUUACCUGGAUCACCUGUUUCGCUAAUUAGUUCUGUAUGACCUUGAGCAAUCCACUUCUCGGAAUCUGCAAUGUCCCCAACUAGAAAUCUUCUGAUGUUUUCUUGAGGAUAAGUGACAUUUGGUAUAUAUCAAACCAAGUCUGGGACCCAAAAGUGUGUCCAUUACCUGGAGUUCUGAUUUCUCUUUUGCCUGCUUUGUCCCUCUUCUCAGUGGCUUCCUCUCCCAAUGAUCUGCCCCCAUCAGCCCUGGAAGAGGUCUAUGUAGUCAAUGGCCUAAGACCCCUCCUCUUCCUCGCAUUUCAGACCUGCCCUUGCUCACAUAGUGACAAGCAAGGUCAGGAAGCUGGCUGACUCCCAGCAUGGACUCAUCCUAACUAAACUACCCCAGAAUUUCAAAAGCUCUUCAUGAGAUUAAGGCCAAAUCUGCCUUGGGAUUCCCACCUACAGAGGACAAACAUAAUCCCCCUUUUAUUCAUAGGAAUCAGAGAGUCAAAUCCUAAAGCCAUGGAGUAUUCACCAUGCCAGGGAGCCCUGGAGAGUGAGACUCUUGUUUGGACAAAUGGAGAAACUGAGGGUCACUGAGGGCAAAUAACUUCCUGAGUUUUGGUGACCUGCAUUUUCAUCAUGGAGCGGGAGAGUCACUCAGGGGCACAGAGAAGCCUUUUGAGUCCUUUAACCAGAAAUCUGGAUGUUGCAGAACUGGCUAUAUGAACCCCGUACAAAAACCUGGGACAUACACCCAGGCUCCCAAGCCAACCAAAACUCCUCUCUCCUACUACCCAGGGCAGUGUUGUCUAUUGGUCAAAGCUAGAAACUCGGAUGUAGCCUGCUUACAUUAAUUCAGGUUUGAGCCUGUGGGUAAGCUUGUUUCCCUGGGGGUAAAAUACGAUGUUGCACCAACAUUACGUAGAAUUGUUGUGCUGGUUAACUGAAAUGGAAACUACAAAUGCAAUUAUUCAAUCAUGGAUCCAGUAUUAUUUUUUUAAUUGCUAUCACAUGUAUCCAGUCAUGCAUGCCAGAGAGAGCAGACUAUGAAUUCUUUAAUUUGGCCUCAGUAAACAAGGGCUCCCGGGCCAACUGCCUCCUUUCCCGGGACUCAAUCUAAGGGCUGCCAAUAGGAAAACCCCAGCCCCGGGUUGGACAGAGUUAUUCUAAAGGGCUGAAGAGGCCCCACCUCUCAGCUCUCCGGCAUGAGGCUCCAGCUCUGUUGGGUUUUUGCUGCUAGUGGGUGACUCAGCAACGCCGGCGCCUGGCCCUGCCUGAUAAGCCUGUGUGCCUAUGUGUGAGUUUGUACUUGGGAAUACAUCUGAGAAAGUGUUUGU